GAUGAACGCUGGCGGCGUGCCUAAUACAUGCAAGUCGAGCGAACGGACGAGAAGCUUGCUUUUCUGAUGUUAGCGGCGGACGGGUGAGUAACACGUGGAUAACCUACCUAUAAGACUGGGAUAACUUCGGGAAACCGGAGCUAAUACCGGAUAAUAUUUUGAACCGCAUGGUUCAAAAGUGAAAGACGGUCUUGCUGUCACUUAUAGAUGGAUCCGCGCUGCAUUAGCUAGUUGGUAAGGUAACGGCUUACCAAGGCAACGAUGCAUAGCCGACCUGAGAGGGUGAUCGGCCACACUGGAACUGAGACACGGUCCAGACUCCUACGGGAGGCAGCAGUAGGGAAUCUUCCGCAAUGGGCGAAAGCCUGACGGAGCAACGCCGCGUGAGUGAUGAAGGUCUUGGAUCGUAAAACUCUGUUAUUAGGGAAGAACAUAUGUGCAAGUAACUGUGCACAUCUUGACGGUACCUAAUCAGAAAGCCACGGCUAACUACGUG
RNAcentral lists this ribosomal RNA (496 nucleotides) under uncultured bacterium. RNAcentral describes it as "partial 16S ribosomal RNA". It matches the Rfam family "Bacterial small subunit ribosomal RNA", at positions 28 to 507 of the family's 1533-position model. The record is from RNAcentral.